This 806-nucleotide long non-coding RNA is filed under the name Nicotiana tabacum (common tobacco). RNAcentral's name for it is "long non-coding RNA (NTAB_LNC006061)". The record is from RNAcentral. Lineage: Eukaryota; Viridiplantae; Streptophyta; Magnoliopsida; Solanales; Solanaceae.
GAUAACUAGACUAGUCCUAAUUCCUAAAGCUGUUCUAAAACACUUAAACAAUUGAAAUCACUUUGUCUCUUCUCCAAAAGCAAGAAACUCUAUCGUUUCCAUUCCAAAACCCCCAAAUUAGAUCAAACCAAAUUAUCUCAAACUCUAUCAACUCUCUUUUGCUCUCAUCGGUAAGGCUCUUCCCUUUCUCAUUUUACAUGUUUUCUUUUAGCUGCAUACAUACGCCUUACUUUUUCCCAAUUAAUUAAAUUUUUUUUUCUGAUUAGCGAGUUUUUUUAAGUAGAUACCUUUAUUGUGAUGAGAUUUUGGUCAUGAAAGACAAAAAGUUGUCUAUCACCUUCGUGGGGCCUAAAAUAUUUAAUUAUUUAUAAAUAUUUCAGGUAUUGCAAAAAUUAUCCUAAUGGAAAGGAUAAAACUGCAACAUAUCUCCCAAAGACUGGAAGUGAGGUCAUUAUGCCUUUACAAGUAUUUUGGAAAUAUGCUCCUCUGGUUGUAAUGUCUACUAAGAUGCCCAAUUUCUUAGAGUUUAAUAUAUUCUCUUUUUGUUUAUUUUUUAGGACUCUUGGGUGUAAUGUCUACUCUUAAAAAGUUGAUGAUAAUUCUUAUGUAGAGUGCAAUAUGAUAUGCAGUUUAUAUUUUUGGUAUUUUUUCGUUGGAAGAAGAAAUAUUAGUUGGAAAGCUCAAUUAUCUUUGGAAAAGGAGGGAUGAUUGAUUAAAGUUUCUAUUAGAACUGAAAUUGAAACCAUACAACUUAUUGACUAACAUAGUUGAGGUAAAUGCUAAAAAAUAAAAACAUGGUUGUUAUU